UCGGUCCCUAUCUGCCGUGGGUGUAGGAAUAUUGAGAGGAGCUGUCCUUAGUACGAGAGGACCGGGAUGGACAUACCUCUGGUGGACCAGUCGUUCUGCCAAGAGCGCAGCUGGGUAGCUAUGUAUUGAACGGAUAACCGCUGAAAGCAUCUAAGCGGGAAACCGGCCUCAAAACAAGUAUUCCCUUGAGAACCGUGGAAGACCACCACGUUGAUAGGUCGGGUGUGGAAGCACAGCAAUGUGUGAAGCUUACCGAUACUAAUUGUUCGAUAGGCUUGAUCGUCCUCAUG
This 290-nucleotide ribosomal RNA is filed under the name Alphaproteobacteria bacterium. Its description in RNAcentral is "partial 23S ribosomal RNA". It matches the Rfam family "Bacterial large subunit ribosomal RNA", at positions 2631 to 2925 of the family's 2925-position model. The record is from RNAcentral. Lineage: Bacteria; Pseudomonadati; Pseudomonadota; Alphaproteobacteria.